Molecule: ribosomal RNA, 486 nt
Filed under: uncultured bacterium
Lineage: Bacteria
Description: partial 16S ribosomal RNA
Rfam family: Bacterial small subunit ribosomal RNA
Source: RNAcentral
GAUGAACGCUGGCGGCGUGCCUAAUACAUGCAAGUCGAACGCUGGAAAUCUAGCUUGCUAGAUUGAAGGAGUGGCGAACGGGUGAGUAAUACAUAAGCAACCUACCCACGAAGACUGGGAUAAUCUCUGGAAACGGGGACUAAUACCGGAUAGGUAAUCGGAAGGCAUCUUCUGAUUAUUAAAGGUUAAAAACACUGGUGGAUGGGCUUAUGGCGCAUUAGUUAGUUGGUGAGGUGACGGCCCACCAAGACGAUGAUGCGUAGCCGGCCUGAGAGGGUGAACGGCCACAUUGGGACUGAGACACGGCCCAGACUCCUACGGGAGGCAGCAGUAGGGAAUUUUCGGCAAUGGGGGAAACCCUGACCGAGCAACGCCGCGUGAGUGAUGACGGCCUUCGGGGUGUAAAGCUCUGUUGUAAGGGAAGAACGGUAGAUAGAGAAUAUCUAAAUGACGGUACCUUACCAGAAAGCCACGGCUAACUACGUG